CCGAGUCAUGUCCCCCGUCCGUCCUCGUGUCGUCCGUCCGUUCCCCCCCCCCCCCCGCCCGCCUUCCCCGGGGUUGCGGGGCGCCGCGAGACCCCGCCGCAGUGUUUGCGGGCGAAGGGCCCCGCAGCCCCGCGCGCCGGUCCAGCAGCGCCCGCCACACGUGCGGCCCCGGCCCCCGGGCGCGCAGCCACGCAAAAACUAGUAACAACGUUAACAGCAGCAACAACAAAUAUGUAAGAGAUCAGGGGUGCGCUACGGAGUCUGAAGUUUCCUGGGGAAAUAGCGGAAUGUGGGAGCAGCCGCGAGGAAAGACUGCCGAGCGCCCCGCAAGCCGCCGGCCCGGCGGGCUGCGAGGACCGGUCCCGCGGCCCCGGGACGCCCACCCGCCCGGCGACCCACCGACGGACGGAGGGACGUACCGGCAGUCAGGCACACGGGCAGGAGCAGCCGGAAGGUUUCAGCAGCACAUUUAGGGCCACAAGAAAAUUGGCGCCUGGAAAAAAACAGAUCUUCGGUCGCUGGAAUGCAUUUGACUUUUCUGGAAAGCUUUUUACCCUUUAAAACACAGUGCUGGUUAGAAAGUGCUGUGGGUUUAAAGGGGCAGUUUCAAAGCUCAGCUGGUGCAUCCCUGGGUGUCUGCUGAAUACACCUAAUCAUUGGGGUUGAAAUAGUGACACUGUGAAAUAGAAAGUUGUUAAUGUUGUUAUUCAUACAAGCAAAUGUCCAUUUAAACUUCGGCAAUAUAUUGCAGUCCCUCCCACUUAAAUGAGGCACAUUUGGACAGAAAAUCCACGCCGUGGGGGCAGUGCUGGAGAUAACUCUUCAACCUCGUGAAAGAUCUGGAGAAAGUGGGAGCAGUGACCCUGGGGUCCUUAACAUCCAUUCUCAGUGUUUCCUCCUGGUGAAGGACCUCAUCCAGUCUUACUUCAAACCUACUAAGACUUAGAGUUGCUCUUGAAGUCCUGGCCUGUUAAUUUUUAUAAUUGCUGAAGCAUCCUGUGCUUUGAUGUGCUUUUAAAAAAAAUAAAUUAGUAAUAAUUUGUA
Long non-coding RNA from Falco peregrinus (peregrine falcon), 1044 nucleotides. RefSeq lists it as uncharacterized. Lineage: Eukaryota; Metazoa; Chordata; Aves; Falconiformes; Falconidae. The record is from RefSeq and is a predicted model, not a curated record. The transcript has 2 exons.